Rhododendron vialii is the source of this 1382-nucleotide long non-coding RNA. RefSeq lists it as uncharacterized. The record is from RefSeq and is a predicted model, not a curated record. Lineage: Eukaryota; Viridiplantae; Streptophyta; Magnoliopsida; Ericales; Ericaceae. The transcript is spliced from 2 exons.
CAUAAAAUGAGCAUGCCAAAAGACAAAAAAAGAAGAAGGAUUAAUUGUUCAAUAUAGUGCGUGCAUUAUCUCUAAAUUUCUUCCAUUCUGUUAGUCUUUCGAAAUCAGUGUUAAAACCAAGAACCAUGUCCGAAGAAAGGAACGAGAAGCCGGAGGAACAACAACGGCAACAGUGGCCCGAACUAAAGCUACCGGAGUUGCUAUAUGCGGACACGAUUAGGAAACUACACGAAGUGAUAUGGCAAUAUGUUGAUUAAUUAACUACUGUUUGUUGGAUAUCAAUUAACUAUCUUGAUUUCCUCUCCGUGCCACUGCUUCCUGUAAUUUUAUUUUACCAGCAUUCAUGUUAGUUUCUUGUUCAAUGUUUCCAUCUCUUGAUAGCUUAUUGCUAACAUAUUUGUCCAUGUUAGUUUCUUGUUCAAUGUUUCCAUCUCUUGAUAGCUUAUUGCUAACAUAUUUGUCCUGCUGUUCCAUCAGAAAACUGAAUCUUAUUGAAUUGGUCUGCCCGUUUGGGUUUCUCGAUCGACUGACUUAUUUAUUAGUUUGCUUUUGCAGGCAAUGCACCUUUGGUAAUAGCAUAAGGGAUGGCCUGUAGUAUUGUACAACAGUGAUAGAACUCUGUGUAAGCACAACCCUUAACCCUUCAUAUACCCUGUGUAGUACAAAUAUGUUAAUCAGCAUUGUGAAUAAUUUGAAGCAAUUGAAAUAAUUAUAUAAUAACAUCACCCGUUCUCCAUGUGACUGCAGUUAGUUUCCUCACAUAGAUACCAACUUUGAUUUACCAUUGCCUUAUUGUGGCAGGGAAUCUCUACUCUUGGGUAAGGGUAAAUUAUACCUUUCUAGAUGUGUUAUUUCACUCGUAAAAUUUCCUACUUUUCAUGAAUUUGUUUAUAACUCAGUGUUUGGGUCAACCUUAUCCGCAAUUCGACUAAUUAUACUGUACUUUGCCGUGACAUAAAAUAGCCCCUGAUGGAAGACUUACUAGUUCUUUAACAAAGGCGACGCAAUGAGGAGCAGGAGGAGGAGAAGAGUCGAUUGGAGGAAGAGCAAAAGCAACGUGAGGAGGAACAAAGGCGACACGUGAGGACGAACAAAGACUUGUCCUCUUGUUGGUGAAAUGCUUGAAAAGGUCAAGAUCGGAGGAUGAUGGGGCAUAACCAUUUGAAGGAAGUUAGAGUUCGUGGAUUUUGUGGGAGCGAGUCUCAAAUCGAGUUUGCUAUGCACUUGGUGAAAAAAGCUAUCGAUUCUUGAACAAAUGGUAGUGUGACCAUUAGAGUGAAUCUUGUUUUUUUGUCAUCUGUUUAUUGAAGUAGAACUUUUUAGUAUUUUGCGGUCUAAGGGUUUGAAUACAUUUUGUUACGAAACCUAGAUUUUUUUAUUUU